RNAcentral lists this ribosomal RNA (467 nucleotides) under uncultured bacterium. RNAcentral's name for it is "partial 16S ribosomal RNA". It matches the Rfam family "Bacterial small subunit ribosomal RNA", at positions 29 to 507 of the family's 1533-position model. The record is from RNAcentral.
ACGCACGCUGGCGGCGUGCUUAACACAUGCCAGUCGCACGGAAAGGCCCUGCUUUUGUGGGGUGCUCGAGUGGCGAACGGGUGAGUAACACGUGAGUAACCUGCCCUUGACUUUGGGAUAACUUCAGGAAACUGGGGCUAAUACCGGAUAGGAGCUCCUGCUGCAUGGUGGGGGUUGGAAAGUUUCGGCGGUUGGGGAUGGACUCGCGGCUUAUCAGCUUGUUGGUGGGGUAGUGGCUUACCAAGGCUUUGACGGGUAGCCGGCCUGAGAGGGCGACCGGCCACAUUGGGACUGAGAUACGGCCCAGACUCCUACGGGAGGCAGCAGUGGGGAAUAUUGCACAAUGGGCGGAAGCCUGAUGCAGCAACGCCGCGUGCGGGAUGACGGCCUUCGGGUUGUAAACCGCUUUCGCCUGUGACGAAGCGUGAGUGACGGUAAUGGGUAAAGAAGCACCGGCUAACUACGUG